UACGGGGGGGGCAAGCGUUGUUCGGAAUUACUGGGCGUAAAGGGCUCGUAGGCGGCCAACUAAGUCGGAUGUGAAAUCCCCAGGCUUAACCUGGGAACUGCAUCCGAUACUGGAUGGCCUGAAUCCGGGAGAGGGAUGCAGAAUUCCAGGUGUAGCGGUGAAAUGCGUAGAUAUCUGGAGGAAUACCGGUGGCGAAGGCGGCAUCCUGGACCGGCAUUGACGCUGAGUGAGCGAAAGCCAGGGGAGCAAACGGG
RNAcentral lists this ribosomal RNA (254 nucleotides) under uncultured bacterium. RNAcentral's name for it is "partial 16S ribosomal RNA". It matches the Rfam family "Bacterial small subunit ribosomal RNA", at positions 524 to 776 of the family's 1533-position model. The record is from RNAcentral.